GAGUUUGAUCGUGGCUCAGGAUGAACGCUGGCGGCGUGCCUAAUACAUGCAAGUCGAGCGAACGGACGAGAAGCUUGCUUCUCUGAUGUUAGCGGCGGACGGGUGAGUAACACGUGGAUAACCUACCUAUAAGACUGGGAUAACUUCGGGAAACCGGAGCUAAUACCGGAUAAUAUUUUGAACCGCAUGGUUCAAAAGUAAAAGACGGUCUUGCUGUCACUUAUAGAUGGAUCCGCGCUGCAUUAGCUAGUUGUAGGUAACGGCUUACCAAGGCAACGAUGCAUAGCCGACCUGAGAGGGUGAUCGGCCACACUGGAACUGAGACACGGUCCAGACUCCUACGGGAGGCAGCAGUAGGGAAUCUUCCGCAAUGGGCGAAAGCCUGACGGAGCAACGCCGCGUGAGUGAUGAAGGUCUUCGGAUCGUAAAACUCUGUUAUUAGGAGAACAUAUGUGUAAGUAACUGUGCACAUCUUGACGGUACCUAAUUC
Molecule: ribosomal RNA, 490 nt
Filed under: uncultured microorganism
Description: bacterial SSU rRNA
Rfam family: Bacterial small subunit ribosomal RNA
Source: RNAcentral